Molecule: microRNA precursor, 203 nt
Organism: Oryza sativa Indica Group (long-grained rice)
Lineage: Eukaryota; Viridiplantae; Streptophyta; Magnoliopsida; Poales; Poaceae
Rfam family: MIR812 microRNA precursor family
Source: Rfam
AAUAAACCUUGGAUUUCCGUAUCCAAUAUUUAACCGUCCGUAUUAUUUUAAAAAAAAUAUAAAAAAAAUUAAAAAGACAAAUCACGCAUAAAGUAUUAAUCAUAUUUUAUCAUCUAACAAUAAUAAAAAUACUAAUUAUAAAAAAAAUUUAUAUAAGAUGGACAGACAAAUAUUGGACACGGAAAUUUAAGGUUUGUUUUUUU